This 245-nucleotide unclassified non-coding RNA is filed under the name Laetiporus sulphureus. RNAcentral describes it as "partial internal transcribed spacer region". The stretch from base 1 to 46 matches the Rfam family "Eukaryotic small subunit ribosomal RNA", at positions 1786 to 1831 of the family's 1831-position model. The record is from RNAcentral. Lineage: Eukaryota; Fungi; Basidiomycota; Agaricomycetes; Polyporales; Laetiporaceae.
AAGUCGUAACAAGGUUUCCGUAGGUGAACCUGCGGAAGGAUCAUUAACGAACAACGGGGCUCGCCCCUUGUCCACAAACACGCCCCCCCCGUGCACGUUGAAGGCCCGGCUGGUUGAGUGGGUGGGCGACCGCCCAGGAUUCGUAGCCUCGCUUUCUUUACACAAACUUCAGAAUGUACAUCGGAAUGUGUUACGCGUCGUGACGCGUCGUAAUAUAACUUUCAGCAACGGAUCUCUUGGCUCUC